GCAGGUAUGGAGACAUGGUCCCGAAGACCAUAGCAGGGAAGAUCUUUGGCUCCAUCUGUUCCCUCAGCGGGGUGCUGGUCAUCGCUCUGCCUGUUCCUGUCAUAGUUUCCAAU
This is a non-coding RNA of Danio rerio (zebrafish), 113 nucleotides long. The record is from Rfam. Lineage: Eukaryota; Metazoa; Chordata; Actinopteri; Cypriniformes; Danionidae.